Molecule: non-coding RNA, 263 nt
Organism: Paramisgurnus dabryanus
Lineage: Eukaryota; Metazoa; Chordata; Actinopteri; Cypriniformes; Cobitidae
Source: RefSeq, a predicted model, not a curated record
CCUUGCUGUAGCCAUUGCUGUAAUGUGCCAGGUGUACUUGCAAUAAUCAGAGAAAGUGCGCCAACGUCAAAUCACACAGAGGGAGGGAGAGCACAACUCCUGGCUGCAGCUGAAGGAGGACGAUUGAUUUCUGGCAGUUCGUCUUACCAUUGCUUGUAAGUCGGAUUGGGUAAGAUGGAUCAUCUUUAAAGGCACCAGGAGUUAAGGCAGAUGUGGAGGCACAACGGGUGAUACCAGACACACACCAAGCACAUUAUGUUCGG